UCAUUAGAUCCAUUUGUGGAAAUGGGCAAAGGGCUCGAGAAGACAGGUGGCUGGGGACAGGGAUUCUGCACAGACAUGUCCGUUGCCUAAAUAAACGCACGAAGAGAUUCUGAACACCUUAGCCACCAAGGAAAGGCAAUGCAGAAGCACAGGGGAUUCUACUCUACCCUCCAAUGGCUCUGAUACAGAACAAUAUGGUAGUAAAUGUUGCUGGGGGCUGGGCGGAACUGGAAUUCUACGUGGAAUCAUAAAACGCUUUGGAAAACUACCCAGCAGGUCUGAUUCCUGGGGGACCGGCUGUGGCCCCCUGAAUCUUCCGGGAAGUGGGAGGCUCACCUGUCCGCAGUGCUCAGCACAGCACUGCUCAUGAUGACCCUGAAGUGGACGGAAACUGAAUGGCUAACAGCUAAGGAGCAGGGUGAGGAUUCCAACCCAAUCACAGUGAACCUAGUGCUGGUGGCAGGAACUCUAUUUGCUUGGACAGCGUGGCUGGUUGAUCGGCUCUGUACAGUCUUUCCUUUCUUCCCCUGCUCUGGCCUAGAAGCAUCUGACUCUGCGACAGUCCUGGGGCAACACAUGAGGUGGACAGGCAGGAAGUAGCCCCCCAACUUCUUCCAUACGUUGUUUCUGCCAGGUGGUCCAUUUUCUCCCUAAGGGUCUCACCGUAUAGUUGAGACUGACCUGGAACUCAC
Fukomys damarensis (Damara mole-rat) is the source of this 692-nucleotide long non-coding RNA. RefSeq lists it as uncharacterized. The transcript is spliced from 3 exons. The record is from RefSeq and is a predicted model, not a curated record. NCBI's taxonomy places the organism in Eukaryota, Metazoa, Chordata, Mammalia, Rodentia, Bathyergidae.